Molecule: ribosomal RNA, 432 nt
Filed under: uncultured bacterium
Lineage: Bacteria
Description: partial 16S ribosomal RNA
Rfam family: Bacterial small subunit ribosomal RNA
Source: RNAcentral
CCUACGGGGGGCUGCAGUCGAGAAUCUUCGGCAAUGGGGGAAACCCUGACCGAGCGACGCCGCGUGUGGGAUGAAGGCCCUUGGGUUGUAAACCACUGUCAGAGGGGAUGGGUUAAAGCCAGAGGAAGCACGGGCUAAGUUCGUGCCAGCAGCCGCGGUAAGACGAACUGUGCAAACGUUAUUCGGAAUCACUGGGCUUGAAGAGUGCGUAGGCGGUUUUGUAAGUAGGGUGUGAAAGCCCCCGGCUCAACCGGGGAAUUGCGCUCUAAACUGCAAGGCUGGAGUGAGGUAGGGGUGUGUGGAACUUCCAGUGGAGCGGUGAAAUGUGUUGAUAUUGGAAGGAACGCCGGUGGCGAAAGCGACACACUGGACCUUUCUGACGCUGAGGCACGAAAGCCAGGGGAGCAAACGGGAUUAGAUACCCCGGUAGUC